GCGCAACCCUUAUCCUUUGUUGCCAGCGGUUAGGCCGGGAACUCAAAGGAGACUGCCAGUGAUAAACUGGAGGAAGGUGGGGAUGACGUCAAGUCAUCAUGGCCCUUACGACCAGGGCUACACACGUGCUACAAUGGCGCAUACAAAGAGAAGCGACCUCGCGAGAGCAAGCGGACCUCAUAAAGUGCGUCGUAGUCCGGAUUGGAGUCUGCAACUCGACUCCAUGAAGUCGGAAUCGCUAGUAAUCGUGGAUCAGAAUGCCACGGUGAAUACGUUCCCGGGCCUUGUACACACCGCCCGUCACACCAUGGGAGUGGGUUGCAAAAGAAGUAGGUAGCUUAACCUUCGGGAGGGCGCUUACCACUUUGUGAUUCAUGACUGGGGUGAAGUCGUAACAAGGUAACCGUAGGGGAACCUGCGGUUGGAUCACCUCCUUACCUUAAAGAA
RNAcentral lists this ribosomal RNA (447 nucleotides) under Salmonella enterica subsp. enterica serovar Enteritidis. RNAcentral's name for it is "bacterial SSU rRNA". It matches the Rfam family "Bacterial small subunit ribosomal RNA", at positions 1096 to 1533 of the family's 1533-position model. Lineage: Bacteria; Pseudomonadati; Pseudomonadota; Gammaproteobacteria; Enterobacterales; Enterobacteriaceae. The record is from RNAcentral.